Molecule: ribosomal RNA, 598 nt
Filed under: bacterium T-1-48-3H
Lineage: Bacteria
Description: bacterial SSU rRNA
Rfam family: Bacterial small subunit ribosomal RNA
Source: RNAcentral
AAUGGACGAAAGUCUGACGGAGCAACGCCGCGUGAACGAAGAAGGCCUUCGGGUCGUAAAGUUCUGUUAGUUAGGGAAGAACAGAGUACCAGAGUAACUGCUGGUACCUUGACGGUACCUAACCAGAAAGCCACGGCUAACUACGUGCCAGCAGCCGCGGUAAUACGUAGGUGGCAAGCGUUGUCCGGAAUUAUUGGGCGUAAAGCGCGCGCAGGUGGUUCUUUAAGUCUGAUGUGAAAGCCCACGGCUCAACCGUGGAGGGUCAUUGGAAACUGGGGAACUUGAGUGCAGAAGAGGAAAGUGGAAUUCCAAGUGUAGCGGUGAAAUGCGUAGAGAUUUGGAGGAACACCAGUGGCGAAGGCGACUUUCUGGUCUGUAACUGACACUGAGGCGCGAAAGCGUGGGGAGCAAACAGGAUUAGAUACCCUGGUAGUCCACGCCGUAAACGAUGAGUGCUAAGUGUUAGAGGGUUUCCGCCCUUUAGUGCUGCAGCUAACGCAUNAAGCACUCCGCCUGGGGAGUACGACCGCAAGGUUGAAACUCAAAGGANUNGACGGGGGCCCGCACAAGCGGUGGAGCAUGUGGUUUAAUUCGAAGC